GGGUGCGUAACGUGUAUAGAAUCUACCUCUUACUAAGGGAUAGCCCAGAGAAAUUUGGAUUAAUAUCUUAUAGUAUGUUAACUUGGCAUCAAGAUGACAUUAAAGGUUACGGUAAGAGAUGACUAUGCGUCCUAUUAGCUAGAUGGUGUGGUAACGGCACACCAUGGCAACGAUAGGUAGGGGCCCUGAGAGGGGGAUCCCCCACACUGGUACUGAGACACGGACCAGACUCCUACGGGAGGCAGCAGUGAGGAAUAUUGGACAAUGGAGGCAACUCUGAUCCAGCCAUGCCGCGUGCAGGAAGACUGCCCUAUGGGUUGUAAACUGCUUUUAUACAGGAAGAAACACUCUCACGUGUGAGAGCUUGACGGUACUGUAAGAAUAAGGAUCGGCUAACUCCGUGCCAGCAGCCGCGGUAAUACGGAGGAUCCAAGCGUUAUCCGGAAUCAUUGGGUUUAAAGGGUCCGUAGGUGGAUAAUUAAGUCAGAGGUGAAAUCCUGCAGCUCAACUGUAGAAUUGCCUUUGAUACUGGUUGUCUUGAGUUAUUAUGAAGUAGUUAGAAUAUGUAGUGUAGCGGUGAAAUGCAUAGAUAUUACAUAGAAUACCAAUUGCGAAGGCAGAUUACUAAUAAUAUACUGACACUGAUGGACGAAAGCGUGGGGAGCGAACAGGAUUAGAUACCCUGGUAGUCCACGCCGUAAACGAUGGUCACUAGCUGUUCGAACUUCGGUUUGAGUGGCUAAGCGAAAGUGAUAAGUGACCCACCUGGGGAGUACGUUCGCAAGAAUGAAACUCAAAGGAAUUGACGGGGGCCCGCACAAGCGGUGGAGCAUGUGGUUUAAUUCGAUGAUACGCGAGGAACCUUACCAGGGCUUAAAUGUAAAUUGACAGGUUUAGAAAUAGACUUUUCUUCGGACAAUUUACAAGGUGCUGCAUGGUUGUCGUCAGCUCGUGCCGUGAGGUGUCAGGUUAAGUCCUAUAACGAGCGCAACCCCUGUUGUUAGUUGCCAGCGAGUCAUGUCGGGAACUCUAACAAGACUGCCAGUGCAAACUGUGAGGAAGGUGGGGAUGACGUCAAAUCAUCACGGCCCUUACGUCCUGGGCUACACACGUGCUACAAUGGUAGGGACAGAGAGCAGCCACUGGGUGACCAGGAGCGAAUCUAUAAACCCUAUCACAGUUCGGAUCGGAGUCUGCAACUCGACUCCGUGAAGCUGGAAUCUCUAGUAAUCGCAUAUCAGCCAUGAU
This 1248-nucleotide ribosomal RNA is filed under the name Olleya sp. Hel_I_61. RNAcentral's name for it is "bacterial SSU rRNA". It matches the Rfam family "Bacterial small subunit ribosomal RNA", at positions 104 to 1358 of the family's 1533-position model. The record is from RNAcentral. RNAcentral also lists the same sequence under 1 other name. Lineage: Bacteria; Pseudomonadati; Bacteroidota; Flavobacteriia; Flavobacteriales; Flavobacteriaceae.